UACGUAGGGGGCAAGCGUUAUCCGGAUUUACUGGGUGUAAAGGGAGCGUAGACGGCUUUGCAAGCCAGAUGUGAAAGCCCGGGGCUCAACCCCGGGACUGCAUUUGGAACUGUGUGGCUAGAGUGUCGGAGAGGCAGGCGGAAUUCCUAGUGUAGCGGUGAAAUGCGUAGAUAUUAGGAGGAACACCAGUGGCGAAGGCGGCCUGCUGGACGAUGACUGACGUUGAGGUUCGAAAGCGUGGGGAGCAAACAGG
Molecule: ribosomal RNA, 253 nt
Filed under: uncultured bacterium
Lineage: Bacteria
Description: partial 16S ribosomal RNA
Rfam family: Bacterial small subunit ribosomal RNA
Source: RNAcentral